Molecule: ribosomal RNA, 301 nt
Filed under: uncultured bacterium
Lineage: Bacteria
Description: partial 16S ribosomal RNA
Rfam family: Bacterial small subunit ribosomal RNA
Source: RNAcentral
CAGUCGCCGCGGUAAUACGAAGGGUGCAAGCGUUACUCGGAAUUACUGGGCGUAAAGCGUGCGUAGGUGGUGGUUUAAGUCCGUUGUGAAAGCCCUGGGCUCAACCUGGGAAUUGCAGUGGAUACUGGGUCACUAGAGUGUGGUAGAGGAUAGUGGAAUUUCCGGUGUAGCAGUGAAAUGCGUAGAGAUUGGAAGGAACAUCUGUGGCGAAGGCGACUAUCUGGGCCAACACUGACACUGAGGCACGAAAGCGUGGGGAGCAAACAGGAUUAGAUACCCGCGUAGUCCCUGUCUCUUAUAC